Eubalaena glacialis (North Atlantic right whale) is the source of this 229-nucleotide long non-coding RNA. RefSeq lists it as uncharacterized. The record is from RefSeq and is a predicted model, not a curated record. The transcript is spliced from 3 exons. NCBI's taxonomy places the organism in Eukaryota, Metazoa, Chordata, Mammalia, Artiodactyla, Balaenidae.
AGGACCUGGGAGCAGAUGAGAGGAUGCUGUGAGCACCGAAUCAACUAUAUGGACCGAGAGGCUCACCUCGGCCAAGGCCAGGGCAGAGAAGGGCGUGUCCUCGGCAGGUUUCACCACCACCGUGCAGCCUGCUGCCAGGGCGGCCCCCACCUUCCUCGUGAUCAUGGCGCUGGGGAAAUUCCACUGGAUCAAAAGAAAGAGGAGUGCCGUGACAGUCCUGGCCUGACCA